GCCAGACUCCUACGGGAGGCAGCAGUGAGGAAUAUUGGUCAAUGGGCGAGAGCCUGAACCAGCCAAGUCGCGUGAGGGAAGACGGUCCUAUGGAUUGUAAACCUCUUUUGUCGGGGAGCAAAAAGGCCUCGUGAGGCCACAAGUGAGAGUACCCGAAGAAAAAGCAUCGGCUAACUCCGUGCCAGCAGCCGCGGUAAUACGGAGGAUGCGAGCGUUAUCCGGAUUUAUUGGGUUUAAAGGGUGCGUAGGCGGAAGGUUAAGUCAGGGGUCAAAUGUCGGUGCUCAACACCGGCCUGCCGUUGAAACUGGUCUUCUUGAGUGAGCGAGAAGUAUGCGGAAUGCGUGGUGUAGCGGUGAAAUGCAUAGAUAUCGCGCAGAACUCCGAUUGCGAAGGCAGCAUGCCGGCUCCACACUGACGCUGAGGCACGAAAGCGUGGGUAUCGAACAGGAUUAGAUACCCCCGUA
RNAcentral lists this ribosomal RNA (465 nucleotides) under uncultured bacterium. RNAcentral describes it as "bacterial SSU rRNA". It matches the Rfam family "Bacterial small subunit ribosomal RNA", at positions 330 to 792 of the family's 1533-position model. The record is from RNAcentral.